GCACUAGUGGUGUAGCGGUAACAUACUUCCCUUCCAUUAUCAUUUCUGAUAGGAAGUGCUCUGGGUUCGACUCCCAGCUAGUGCA
Molecule: non-coding RNA, 85 nt
Organism: Aspergillus heteromorphus CBS 117.55
Lineage: Eukaryota; Fungi; Ascomycota; Eurotiomycetes; Eurotiales; Aspergillaceae
Source: the annotation of a RefSeq genome assembly